UACGUAGGGGGCAAGCGUUAUCCGGAUUCACUGGGCGUAAAGGGAGCGCAGGCGGCAUGGCAAGUCUGAUGUGAAAACCCGGGGCCCAACCCCGGGAGUGCAUUGGAAACUGCCAGGCUGGAGUGUCGGAGGGGUAAGCGGAAUCCCUAGUGUAGCGGUGAAAUGCGUAGAUAUUAGGAGGAACACCAGUGGCGAAGGCGGCUUACUGGACGACUACUGACGCUGAGGCUCGAAAGCGUGGGGAGCAAACAGG
Molecule: ribosomal RNA, 253 nt
Filed under: uncultured bacterium
Lineage: Bacteria
Description: partial 16S ribosomal RNA
Rfam family: Bacterial small subunit ribosomal RNA
Source: RNAcentral